RNAcentral lists this long non-coding RNA (544 nucleotides) under Carica papaya (papaya). Its description in RNAcentral is "long non-coding RNA (CPAP_LNC002268)". The record is from RNAcentral. Lineage: Eukaryota; Viridiplantae; Streptophyta; Magnoliopsida; Brassicales; Caricaceae.
CCACCUGAAGCAUCAUACUUAGGUUUUACUUGAUUCCAUUUUCUUUUUCUCUCCUCCGAUUCACAUUUUGAGAAAACCAGAGAUUUCUUAUCUUUCGGCUGAGCCUUUGAUUUUACUAUCUUCACUUCUCUCACAUGGUUUCACUGGUUCAUCCUCAGAAGAAAUGCCCAACAUCCACAACAGUAGGCGCCACUGACUUCCAUCAUUAGAAUCAAUCCCAACCAUUUGCUUUCUUAUUCCUCCAGAAAAUUAGAUUCGUAUUACCAACCAUCAACACAACUUGAAAUCAAAUAAGAAAAUUAAAGCGGUUGCCAUAAUUCUCUUUGAAUUUCGAUUUGGAUGGCAAGGUACGAAUUUCUUGUUCUUCCUCAUUUGUAAGGUUAGGGUUCUCAAUUACCAAGCAGACAAAAAGAAAAUUCGGAACAAAUUCGGUAUAAUACCUAGCUUUUCUGGCGAUUUACUAAUCAGGAUGUUUUGAUCCCGCUGACGAGCUUUUAGUCGGGCGAUUCGCGUCGAGUGGCAAAUGAAGUUGCCGUUGCACAAG